RNAcentral lists this RNase P RNA (380 nucleotides) under Paludibacteraceae bacterium. Its description in RNAcentral is "RNase P RNA component class A". It matches the Rfam family "Bacterial RNase P class A". From Rfam's summary of the family: Ribonuclease P (RNase P) is a ubiquitous endoribonuclease, found in archaea, bacteria and eukarya as well as chloroplasts and mitochondria. Its best characterised activity is the generation of mature 5'-ends of tRNAs by cleaving the 5'-leader elements of precursor-tRNAs. Cellular RNase Ps are ribonucleoproteins. The record is from RNAcentral. Lineage: Bacteria; Pseudomonadati; Bacteroidota; Bacteroidia; Bacteroidales; Paludibacteraceae.
AAAGUAAAUCGGUCUAUCGCUGCGGAGGGAAAGAAAAGCACAUGUGCUUUAAUCUCAUCAGCAGAGGAAAGUCCGGGCAGCACAGAGCACCGCAGCGGUUAACGGCCGUCAGGCAGCAAUGUUUGGUCCCUGCUACAGAGACGAGACGCGUUUCGACAACGAACGCGGAGUGAAACGAGCACACUGCGGGCUGCAAUUCCAAGUAAACCGAUGAUUGAGCGCUGCUCGCGUGAGUCGGAGGGUAGGAAGCGAGAGAAGGACACAGCAAUGUGAUGUACGAAGGACGGAUGUACGAUGUACGAAGGAAUUGGUACUCCUCGAGAUUAAUGAUAGACGCUGCUUUGGCAGUACAGAACCCGGCUUAUAGAUUUACUUUCUUC